GGAGAGAUGGCUGAGCGGUUGAAAGCACCGGUCUUGAAAACCGGCAUGGGGGCAACUCCAUCCUGGGUUCGAAUCCCAGUCUCUCCGCCA
This 90-nucleotide transfer RNA is filed under the name Alphaproteobacteria bacterium. Its description in RNAcentral is "tRNA-Ser". It matches the Rfam family "tRNA". From Rfam's summary of the family: Transfer RNA (tRNA) molecules are approximately 80 nucleotides in length. Their secondary structure includes four short double-helical elements and three loops (D, anti-codon, and T loops). RNAcentral also lists the same sequence under 1 other name. The record is from RNAcentral. Lineage: Bacteria; Pseudomonadati; Pseudomonadota; Alphaproteobacteria.